CCUUUUAAAAAGUAUGUGUGCCUGUGUGCGCAUGCGCCUGUGCAUUCGGCACGCUGUGCCCACAGAUCAGCGCAAAGAGGGCUUUCCAGAGGAUCUUUUUCUUAAUGUAGUGUCAGAUCUUAAAAUAAGAUUUAAGGGCUGGGAAGUCUGAUUGAGUGGGACUGAGAUGUGAUUUCUAGUAGUAGCACUCACUAGAACGGGGAGAACAGAAAAUGCUGUUUCUAUGUGUGGGAGGUCGGACAUUUUGGACAGACAUAUUUUAAUUCAGCCUUUUCUUUUGAAAUCAAGUCUACGCCGUAGCUACCUUGAGAUGUGUAGUUGCUUAUUCUGUUUAAUGGAUUGUUCAUCCUCUCUGUCCUUGAGAUAAUCCUAAGCAUGUGCAUAAAACUGAGAUCCUGUUGCUCAUAAAAACCAAUCAGCCCGCAGUUGGUCCACAAGGUGUUGAGCACUCGCUGGAGCAGAUGGGAAAGAUAAUGUUUAAUAAAGAGUUAGAGGAUUAGGUGGUACAAAACAAGCAAAGAGAAAGGGAUAAUUUGAUUUCAGGUGAACCUCUGUGACAUUUCUUGUACCCAGAGACAGAUUAAAAUGAUUCCAAAGCCAUGACUUUUGGCUCCUCUUCCCCAGGGCCGACCCGGCUGCAUACAUUGUCAGCUUUUGACUCUGCUGGCAUGACCAUCACCGGAAUCUGUGAAUAACACAGAAGAGAGUUUCUCAGGUUUAUGAAGAUGUAUGAAAAGUUAAAUGAAAAACGGAUUGCGGAUUACAGCCUAAGCGGGUUUGAGCCUGAAUUUAAUAUAACAACUUGUGGCAAAUGGAAGGAGCGGGAAGGUAGCGCCGACUAGUCCGAAGUCCUCUGGAGAGGGUCUACACUACGAAGAGUUCCAGAGAAGGAGAGCUAAUCCUAGGGGAAAUUCAGUGUCCAGAUGUUUCAGAAUCCAGAUGGCCUAUGAAUCCUCUAUCACCCAGAAAGGAGGAAAAUGUGCAUGAAAGCGGAAGAUUGAAAAGAAAAAAAAUAAUUUAGGUGAUGUAAUGGCAGCAUACUGGGCUUAAGGAAAAGCUUCCCCUCCUAAAGCAGCAACUUAAUAAAAUGCAUGUUACAGUCUCUAUCAGCAAGCCAGAUUUUCAGCCUUGCCUCUUUUUUCCAUCACCAUUAAGAGGCUUGCAGAGAUCCACACUGUUUAAAGGGCA
Molecule: long non-coding RNA, 1188 nt
Filed under: Equus asinus (donkey)
Lineage: Eukaryota; Metazoa; Chordata; Mammalia; Perissodactyla; Equidae
Description: lncRNA (ENSEASG00005026119.1)
Source: RNAcentral